Molecule: long non-coding RNA, 3124 nt
Organism: Diachasmimorpha longicaudata
Lineage: Eukaryota; Metazoa; Arthropoda; Insecta; Hymenoptera; Braconidae
Exons: 2
Source: RefSeq, a predicted model, not a curated record
UUGAAAGCCGUAACGUUAUCAUGGGCUUCAUAAAUUUUAUCUUGACAGCCAACGCAUAAUUAAUUAGAAACCAAACUAAUGCCAGUAUUCCGGAGUAUUUACUCAUCGAUCGAUAGUAUUUAUCGACCGUUGGACGAUAAAUUUUAAUUAUCGCUUUCAACAGCAAUAUAAUAAAUACAUAAUCAACGUGUUCACUAUCUAACAUUUACACUAGGCUAUCCAUGCACAAUUAGUUGGUGUCGUAAAGAAUAUGAAUUUAUCAAAAUUGAAAACUGCACUGUCAAUAGCUAAACUUGAUCAAAUUUCCUUUAACUUUCAUUUACUAUUUUAAAACAGAAAACGGAUGUUACUGAGAAGCAAAACUACUAAUACUCGGUAAUAAUUAUGACAGUCAGAGUGUUCAAUAUUUCAACCGGUCGUUAUCAAGUUACAUAACUUCAUGCAGUAGACUUGGAUUAUACAACUUAGCAGCUUGAGCCUCAGAAUUAUAUUUCCGAAAGCAAGUGUUUCUGGUAAAUGUAAGUCGUGUACAGGAUUGUAAGGAAGAUCUCAGUUGGCAGACAGGUGAGAAAGCGUCUAGACAGAAUUAGCAGCAGUUGUUAUCAAGAGCAUUCAACCAGGAUCCCAAGUGUGGAUUUAGGUACCAAAGUUUUGGUCCCAGAGGAAAAACACUCAAUGACAGGCGUAAGGGUCCACCAAGAAUAGUCAAGUUCAAUGUACACAUUAAAUGAUUGUCGAGUUAUUGGCACAGAAUGACAGCAGAGAUGGAUGAUUGACAAGUAAGCAAAAGAAUGUUAGUACUGCAGAGGACUUUAAGCAAUAAUCGACAGUAUUUAUCCACCAUUGGAUGAUGAAUUUCAGCUAUAGUUUGAAAUAGCGAGCUAAUGAAUACAAAAUUAAUGAGUUUAUCGUCUAACGAAUUCAUCAACACUAUAGAUAAGCUGUUAAGAAUUGAACUUUACCAACCAGACUCGAUUGACUUUGAUUCAGUAUUUUAUCACAGGGAAUGGAUGUUUACUGAGAAGCAAACAUAAUUAAUACUGAACAUUAACCAGACUCUACAGCAUUUCAAUCUGUUGUUAUCAAGUUAUAUAACUCCGUGGAACAGACAUGAAUCGUACAAUCUUCCAACUUCAGUCUGAGAAAUUUAUCAGUGUUGAAUAAAGAUAGAUUAAAAUAUCUUUUCAAAAGCAAGUGCUUCGGGAUUCUCUAGCCAAUGCAACUCGCGUACGUGAUUUUCAGGAAGAUCUAGGAGUAAGAGGAUAGUGUUUGACGGAUAAAAAAGAGCCAUCAUUCUACUUUGACUUUGUAAAAUGUCGUUGAUGCACAUUCCACUGUUUUUUGUUAAUUUAGAAGGAUAUAUUCACGCUGCUUUCUAAGAUUCUUGUACUAAUGGCUUACACUAGGUAAAUAAAAGAAAUAGGAAGCAGCCUGGGGGUGUAAUAAACAUUUGUCAUAGUGCAAACUAGUGCAAAGUGACAGAUUACUAAUUACAAAUGUCCAGAAGCAGAUUUAGUGCAGGUGUUUGCAAGAGGAUUGAAUCAGGGUCCACGUGUGAUAUUUCUCCGGUCAAAAAAUUGAAAAAAUAAAAAAUUCAAAUGGUUUUUGCACCAGGUAAAAGUAGUUGAUGACAGGAGUGGCCCACGUUACCAAGAAUGUCCAGUUCAACAUGUAUAUUGACUAAUUCUCUAUUCAUCCCAUUGUUUUAUUACCUGGAACGCUUGACUUGAAGCACUACUUGCCCCGAACCAACUUGAUCAGUCAUGAUGGCAGGAUAUCAGUUAGAGAAAAUAACCGAACAGAUCCUGGUAUUCGCGACACGUGUUGUUUUGAGAUUGUUGCCGUAUAAGACACUUUAGGAAUUGUAUGGCGAUCCGCUCACGGCCGCGGUCAACGCGACGACUGAUUUUCGUUUCUAGUGGUUAACUAGGCAUAGGUGAGAUCGUAUGAGGAAAAAUAACCGUUGCUCGUUAUCGUACGCGGACUUUGGUCCAAUUUGAUGUUGCAGCAAUUUCGAGGAUAUACAGAUACAAUAUGGAUGUAUCGCAGUGUCUUGUAUUGUACUGAGGGGGAAAUUAUUUUUACCGAUACACUAGGUACUCGGGUCCAAGGAAAAAACCUGUCGAUAAUUGCAUUCAUUUAUUCAUCCAAUUUAUUUGUUAUCAUUCUAACUUCAAUCUAAACGAUUUAUUUCCCUGUGUUGAUCAUGAAUAAACCGAUCGAUUUAUUAACAAUAAUUUGAAUGAGUUUUAUACCGAACAUUUAUUGAGAACAAAUAAUUUUCAAUAAUUUUUUAAAUUUCGAAAAACGAUUCGAUUAACAACAGCGUUUCGUGCUGCAGAAUUUCUCUUUUUUUCAGUUUGUAAAAUGUUUGUUAAUUACGAGUAUUCUAUAAAUUUUAUGCAUAGGCUAUAAAAAAUGCGAAAAUUCUUCCCUUAAAUUUCUCGAUUCAAUUCCGUAAUCGGUGAACUAACCCUGAGUUCCGUAAUUUUUACUCAACAUUUCUUUCCGCGAUUGUUACAAUUACUCAACUCUCAGUCUUAUCAUUCAGAGAAAAAGUAAUCAUUCAGUUGCGGUCAAUGUCUAACGACUUCAUCGUCGGACUUUGAUGCCCCGAACUGGUGAUCAUUCCUUUUCAGGAUGGAUUCCCAAAAUAAUCACUGUCAAGGAUCUCCGAUGAUAAAAUUCGUGUAAUCAUUGACGGUUUCCAUAACUCGUUCCCCUGACCUUUGAAACACCGGAGAACGGAUUUCGUUCUUUUUGGUGCGUGAAUAUUUAACGUUGAUUAAAUAUUGAACUUUGCCGGCAGAUGGAUAAUAAAAUUCAAUGAGAUUAAGAUGGAAAACUUUGCACGAUCACGGGUACGACACUUGUCUUUGAAUGGGUUUCUGUAUUGACAAUCAACAGAGUUGACCGACAUCCCGCGAUGCAGAAAAUAAUGUAUCGACGCAUCCACUUGACUCACCCGUUUAACAUCGUUAUGAUGAAGAAUGUUGCAGGGCAAUUUGACUUUGUCUCAACACCAAGACAUUGCAUAUUUUGAAAAAUGUAAAAAUACCGAAUUCAAGUUGACAUCCGAAAAUAUAUUCCUUAUAAUGACAGAAUAAAAUUUAUCUCUAAUUGA